UUUCUCUCUCUCUCUCUCUCCUCUCACUCGCACUCUAUUUCUCAGUCUACGUAUGUAUGCUUUUAUGUAUGUAUAAUUUAAAUUCCUGAAUGCUGAAUAUCAUGUGUCCAAUAUAAAGAAACACUUUUGUUUUCCCCCCAUAAGAAUAGAAGUAUAUCUUCUUCUAUUGGAUACUCUGAAGUGACAUCUUCAGUUCCCCUCACACAACUUGUUUGACUGACCUUUUUAUUUUCCUCCCGCUAAUCUCUUUUUUUAUCACA
Molecule: unclassified non-coding RNA, 260 nt
Filed under: Hevea brasiliensis (rubber tree)
Lineage: Eukaryota; Viridiplantae; Streptophyta; Magnoliopsida; Malpighiales; Euphorbiaceae
Source: RNAcentral